AUUGAACGCUGGCGGCAUGCUUUACACAUGCAAGUCGAACGGCAGCGCGGGGGCAACCCUGACGGCGAGUGGCGAACGGGUGAGUAAUAUAUCGGAACGUACCCAGAAGUGGGGGAUAACGUAGCGAAAGUUACGCUAAUACCGCAUACGAUCUACGGAUGAAAGUGGGGGACCUUCGGGCCUCAUGCUUGUGGAGCGGC
This 200-nucleotide ribosomal RNA is filed under the name uncultured bacterium. RNAcentral describes it as "partial 16S ribosomal RNA". It matches the Rfam family "Bacterial small subunit ribosomal RNA", at positions 30 to 230 of the family's 1533-position model. The record is from RNAcentral.